This 417-nucleotide ribosomal RNA is filed under the name uncultured bacterium. RNAcentral describes it as "bacterial SSU rRNA". It matches the Rfam family "Bacterial small subunit ribosomal RNA", at positions 362 to 776 of the family's 1533-position model. The record is from RNAcentral.
UAUUGGUCAAUGGGCGCGAGCCUGAACCAGCCAAGUCGCGUGAGGGAGGACGGCCCUACGGGUUGUAAACCUCUUUUGCCGGGGAGCAACGGGCGUCACGUGUGGCGCCACUGAGAGUACUCGGAGAAAAAGCAUCGGCUAACUCCGUGCCAGCCGCCGCGGUAAUACGGAGGAUGCGAGCGUUAUCCGGAUUUAUUGGGUUUAAAGGGUGCGUAGGCGGAUCGUUAAGUCAGUGGUCAAAUUGAGGGGCUCAACCCCUUCCCGCCAUUGAAACUGGCGAUCUUGAGUGGAAGAGAAGUAUGCGGAAUGCGUGGUGUAGCGGUGAAAUGCAUAGAUAUCACGCAGAACCCCGAUUGCGAAGGCGGCAUACCGGCGCGCAACUGACGCUCAUGCACGAAAGCGUGGGUAUCGAACAGG